CAGGUACANCGGGAAGCCAGGCGGCGACGCCGAGCGGAACCCGAAAACCUGUCUCAGUUCGGAUCGGAGUCUGCAACCCGACUCCGUGAAGCUGGAUUCGCUAGUAAUCGCGCAUCAGCCAUGGCGCGGUGAAUACGUUCCCGGGCCUUGUACACACCGCCCGUCAAGCCAUGGAAGCCGGGGGUGCCUGAAGUGUGCAGCCGCAAGGAGCGCCCUAAGGUAAAACCGGUGACUGGGGCUAAGUCGUAACAAGGUACC
RNAcentral lists this ribosomal RNA (258 nucleotides) under uncultured bacterium. RNAcentral describes it as "partial 16S ribosomal RNA". It matches the Rfam family "Bacterial small subunit ribosomal RNA", at positions 1234 to 1500 of the family's 1533-position model. The record is from RNAcentral.